This 301-nucleotide ribosomal RNA is filed under the name uncultured bacterium. Its description in RNAcentral is "partial 16S ribosomal RNA". It matches the Rfam family "Bacterial small subunit ribosomal RNA", at positions 509 to 807 of the family's 1533-position model. The record is from RNAcentral.
CAGCCGCCGCGGGAAUACGGAGGGGGCUAGCGUUGUUCGGAAUUACUGGGCGUAAAGCGCACGUAGGCGGCUUGGUAAGUUAGAGGUGAAAGCCCGGAGCUCAACUCCGGAAUUGCCUUUAAGACUGCCGAGCUAGUAGGUGAGAGAGGUAAGUGGAAUUCCGAGUGUAGAGGUGAAAUUCGUAGAUAUUCGGAAGAACACCAGUGGCGAAGGCGGCUUACUGGCUCAAUCUGGACGCUGAGGCACGAAAGCGUGGGGAGCAAACAGGAUUAGAUACCCCAGUAGUCCCUGUCUCUUAUAC